Molecule: long non-coding RNA, 641 nt
Organism: Sus scrofa (pig)
Lineage: Eukaryota; Metazoa; Chordata; Mammalia; Artiodactyla; Suidae
Source: RefSeq, a predicted model, not a curated record
UGCGGCCCAUAAAAAAAGGCAUAGCACCAAUUCGACCCUGAGCUUGGGAACUUCCAUAUGCCACACCUGCGGCCCUUAAAAACAGGUGUGCCCGGUGAUAGUGGUGGUGGGGUGGGUGUAAAUAAAUAGCUGAAAUGAGGAUGGCUGGGUGGGGGCAAAGAGGAGCAGGCGGGGAGGGCGCUGCAGUGGUCCCGGCAGGUGAGGUUGGCCCUGAGACUCGAUGGGGCCCUCGUGGUGGAGACGAGUGGCUGGAUCAGAGAAGCAGGACGGACUGGACUUGGCCUCAGAUCAGGUGUCGGUCCUGAGAGCACUCCCAGGAAACUGCCCACCCGCCUCUCCCCACUUCCUGCCGAGUUCCACCCGCCACAGCAACGGAGAGAGGAAGAGAGCAGCGUGGCCGCCGGAGUGGAUGCUCUCUGGACAAAGAGGGGAGCUGCAACCCUGGGGAGAUGUGUCUGCCUGCAGGAGAGAAGUUGAGCUCCAGUCCUUCUGUUCUGCCAUCUUCAUCCUGAAUAUCCUCGUGGGGUUCAAUCUUGAAGAAAAAAAAAAGAUCCCUUUAGGGAAUUGCCGUCAUGGCUCCGUGGUAACAAACCCGACUAGCACCCAUGAGGUUGAGGGUUCGAUCCCUGGCCCUGUUCAGU